This 554-nucleotide ribosomal RNA is filed under the name Clostridioides difficile. RNAcentral describes it as "bacterial LSU rRNA". It matches the Rfam family "Bacterial large subunit ribosomal RNA", at positions 1875 to 2427 of the family's 2925-position model. The record is from RNAcentral. Lineage: Bacteria; Bacillati; Bacillota; Clostridia; Peptostreptococcales; Peptostreptococcaceae.
GGUUAAGGGGAUCUGUUAGAGGAAUCGAAGCAGUGAACUUAAGCCCCAGUAAACGGCGGCCGUAACUAUAACGGUCCUAAGGUAGCGAAAUUCCUUGUCGGGUAAGUUCCGACCCGCACGAAAGGCGUAACGAUUUGGGCACUGUCUCAACAACAGACUCGGUGAAAUUGUAAUUCCGGUGAAGAUGCCGGAUACCUGCGACAGGACGGAAAGACCCCAUGGAGCUUUACUGUAGCUUGACAUUGGGUCUUGGUACUACAUGUACAGGAUAGGUGGGAGGCUUUGAAACCAGGACGCCAGUUUUGGCGGAGCCAUCCUUGGGAUACCACCCUUGUAGUACUGGGACUCUAACCAUAGGCCAUGAAUCUGGUCUUGGGACACUGUCAGGUGGGCAGUUUGACUGGGGCGGUCGCCUCCCAAAAGGUAACGGAGGCGCUCAAAGGUUCUCUCAGUACGGUCGGAAAUCGUACGUAGAGUGUAAAGGCAAAAGAGAGCUUGAUUGCAAGACAUACAGGUCGAGCAAGGAUGAAAAUCGGACUUAGUGAUCCGGUGGU